Molecule: ribosomal RNA, 378 nt
Filed under: Triticum aestivum (bread wheat)
Lineage: Eukaryota; Viridiplantae; Streptophyta; Magnoliopsida; Poales; Poaceae
Description: partial small subunit ribosomal RNA
Source: RNAcentral
AUGAAGGUCGUGCUGAAGCUGGACCUGCACGACGACAAGCAGAAGCACAAGGCCAUCAAGGUCGUCUCCACUCUCCACGGUAUCGACCAGAUCGCCGUGGACACCAAGGACGACAAGAUGACGGUGGUCGGCACCGUCGACCCCGUCCACGUCGUCGGCAAGCUUCGCAGCAAGCUCUUCCGCACGGCGCACAUCCUCUCCGUCGGCCCGGCCAAGGAGGAGAAGAAAGAUGACGCCAAGAAGGACGACGGCAAGAAGGACCCGACCCCGGUGUACCCGCCGUGGUACCCGCCGCCGCCGCCGUACCACUACCACCCGCACCCGUACUACCACGGCCACAGCGCCGAGGACGACCCCAGCUCCUGCGUCAUCUGCUGA